Molecule: RNase P RNA, 345 nt
Filed under: Pseudomonadota bacterium
Lineage: Bacteria; Pseudomonadati; Pseudomonadota
Description: Proteobacteria bacterium RNase P RNA component class A
Rfam family: Bacterial RNase P class A
About the family: Ribonuclease P (RNase P) is a ubiquitous endoribonuclease, found in archaea, bacteria and eukarya as well as chloroplasts and mitochondria. Its best characterised activity is the generation of mature 5'-ends of tRNAs by cleaving the 5'-leader elements of precursor-tRNAs. Cellular RNase Ps are ribonucleoproteins.
Source: RNAcentral
AGAGUCGGCCAGACAACCGCUGUGCUUUGUCACGGAGGAAAGUCCGGGCUCCAUAGGGCAGGGUGCCAGGUAACGCCUGGGAGGCGCGAGCCUACGGAAAGUGCCACAGAAAACAUACCGCCAAAGUCCUUCGGGACCGGUAAGGGUGAAAUGGUGCGGUAAGAGCGCACCGCGCCGCCGGCAACGGCGGUGGCAGGGUAAACCCCACCCGGAGCAAGACCAAAUAGGGGGGCGAUAGGUGCGGCCCGCACUGUCCCCGGGUAGGUCGCUUGAGGUGUGCGGCGACGCACAUCCCAGAUGAAUGGUUGUCCACGACAGAACCCGGCUUAUCGGCCGACUCUCCCU